Molecule: ribosomal RNA, 487 nt
Filed under: uncultured bacterium
Lineage: Bacteria
Description: partial 16S ribosomal RNA
Rfam family: Bacterial small subunit ribosomal RNA
Source: RNAcentral
GAUGAACGCUAGCGAUAGGCUUAACACAUGCAAGUCGAGGGGCAGCACAAGGUAGCUUGCUAUCUGGGUGGCGACCGGCGCACGGGUGCGUAACGCGUAUGCAACUUGCCCUAUACAGGAGGAUAACCCGUCGAAAGACGGACUAAUACUGCGUAUGCUCACAACUUGGCAUCAAGUGGUGAGGAAAGAAAUUCGGUAUAGGAUAGGCAUGCGUCCCAUUAGCUUGUUGGUGAGGUAACGGCUCACCAAGGCAACGAUGGGUAGGGGAACUGAGAGGUUUAUCCCCGACACUGGUACUGGGACACGGACCAGACUCCUACGGGAGGCAGCAGUGAGGAAUAUUGGUCAGUGGGCGCGAGCCUGAACCAGCCAAGUCGCGUGAAGGAUGACUGUCUUAUGGAUUGUAAACUUCUUUUAUACGGGAAUAACAAGAGUCACGUGUGACUCCCUGCAUGUACCGGAUGAAUAAGCAUCGGCUAACUCCGUG